CUACGGGGCGCUGCAGUGGGGAAUAUUGCACAAUGGGCGCAAGCCUGAUGCAGCCAUGCCGCGUGUAUGAAGAAGGCCUUCGGGUUGUAAAGUACUUUCAGCGGGGAGGAAGGGAGUAAAGUUAAUACCUUUGCUCAUUGACGUUACCCGCAGAAGAAGCACCGGCUAACUCCGUGCCAGCAGCCGCGGUAAUACGGAGGGGGCAAGCGUUAAUCGGAAUUACUGGGCGUAAAGCGCACGCAGGCGGUUUGUUAAGUCAGAUGUGAAAUCCCCGGGCUCAACCUGGGAACUGCAUCUGAUACUGGCAAGCUUGAGUCUCGUAGAGGGGGGUAGAAUUCCAGGUGUAGCGGCGAAAUGCGUAGAGAUCUGGAGGAAUACCGGUGGCGAAGGCGGCCCCCUGGACGAAGACUGACGCUCAGGUGCGAAAGCGUGGGGAGCAAACAGGAUUAGAUACCCCAGUAGUC
This 464-nucleotide ribosomal RNA is filed under the name uncultured bacterium. RNAcentral describes it as "partial 16S ribosomal RNA". It matches the Rfam family "Bacterial small subunit ribosomal RNA", at positions 339 to 795 of the family's 1533-position model. The record is from RNAcentral.